Schistosoma mattheei is the source of this 48-nucleotide non-coding RNA. The record is from Rfam. Lineage: Eukaryota; Metazoa; Platyhelminthes; Trematoda; Strigeidida; Schistosomatidae.
GUCCAGCUGACGAGUCCCAAAUAGGACGAAACGCGCGUCAAACUAGAU